Molecule: non-coding RNA, 154 nt
Filed under: Kouleothrix aurantiaca
Lineage: Bacteria; Bacillati; Chloroflexota; Chloroflexia; Chloroflexales; Roseiflexaceae
Description: SAM-I sequence
Rfam family: SAM riboswitch aptamer (S box leader)
About the family: The SAM riboswitch is found upstream of a number of genes which code for proteins involved in methionine or cysteine biosynthesis in Gram-positive bacteria. The SAM riboswitch acts at the level of transcription termination control.
Source: Rfam by way of RNAcentral
CUCUUAUCCAGAGAGGCAGAGGGACCGGCCCGAUGAAGCCUCGACAACCCUGGAAAGGGCUUUGAGCUACAGUGCAAAGCGUACCGCAGCAUGCACAGCUCGAAACUCGAUCAUUAGGGUGCCAAAUCCGGCAGCACAGACUGGAAGAUGAGAG